RNAcentral lists this long non-coding RNA (24365 nucleotides) under Gallus gallus (chicken). Its description in RNAcentral is "lncRNA (ENSGALG00010013993.1)". The record is from RNAcentral. Lineage: Eukaryota; Metazoa; Chordata; Aves; Galliformes; Phasianidae.
AUUUGCUCAUGUCUCAUUCCUCACAUUUAAAAACUCCCUUGUAGAAGCAAACUGGAAGGAUGAGGAAUACAAGGUCUGAAUUCAAAGUCAGGGCCCUCGUUACAGCUGGGACAGAGUUAAUUUUCUUCAUAGCAUCUGGUAUGGUGCUAUGACAACACACCAAUGUUUUAUUUGUUUCUGAGCAGUGGUUGCACAGAGUCAAAAGACAUUUCAGCUUCCCCUAUUGCCCUGCCAGUGAGGGGACUAAGGGUGGCACAAGAAGCUGAAAGAGGAUGGAACCAGGACAGCUGAUCUAAACUUUCCAAAGGGAUAUUCUAUACCAUGUGACAUAAUGUGAAAGAUAUAAAACUGAGGGCAGUCGGCCAGAGGGACAGUCGCUGCUCAGCAACUGGAUGGGCAUCAGUCAGUGGGUGGUAAGCAAUUGUGUUGUGUGUCUCUUGCUUUGUAAAUAUGCAUAUAUAUAUACUUAUCAUUGUUAUUAUUUCUCUCUUCCUUUUUUGUCUUAGUAAGUAGCUUUUAUCUCAGCCUUCAAGUUCCAAUUUUGUUUCCCCAAUUCUCUCCCCAUUUCAUUGGAAGAGUGUAACUUGAGAGAAUGACUGUGUGGAGCUGAGCUGCCUGCUGUGUUAAACCACAACAGCCAGGUAGUGAUAUUAUUUCCCUCAAAAAUAUCUGAGUUAUAAAAAAGCAAUUAUUUCCUAUAACCCUUAUACAUUAUUUCCCUUCCUCUUUUAAACUUGCAGUUGCUUUCUCCACACUGUAUUAUCGUGGGACAAAAUUUAUUAUAAUUUCCCUCAGCCACAGGGAAGGUUUACUUAAAAUGCAAUUCUACCUUGAAAAUGAUUAUUUUAAUAUACUAUCAGAGAUUCUCUGUUCACUAUGCUCCAAUGAUUUCAAUAUUAAACAUGCUAGUAAUGAAUAUAAAAUAAAAUAAAAUAAAAUAAAAUAAAAUAAAAUAAAAUAACCGUCAGCCAUACAAACUCAGCCUAAAAGCCAAACUGUCUUCUCCCUUUAAAGGAAUAACUGUUUCUGCAGGCUAAGUUAUACCUCAAUUACAACUGUGCAGCUUCAUGUUCUUCUGAUUGUUUCCCAUGACAGCUGCAGUACCCUAUUGACAUCAGUGUUUUUAUGCAUGUGUAAUGUUGGCUAACUGGAACCCACUUAGCCUUGUUGUAGCUGAUUUUCUAGAUGAGACUGCAUCAUAUUCCUCUUCCUUAAUGUUUUGCUAAAGUUAAUGUAGAGGAAAAUAAUUUCAGGUAUCCUACAUUUUUUGUGACUAUACUCAAGACUGUACCAUAUUAAGAAGGAUAUAUUUAUUUGUUCAGAAGAAAAAUAUGUCUAAUACUUAAUGACAGUGUAUCCUGAAAGUCAAUGGAGUGUACCUUAUAUUUCCAUACCUCAGAAAAACCUACUGAAGAACUUGGGUUUAUAAUUGGUACAAGACAACACAUUCAAUGUGGCUUUAUGCAAGUGAAAAAAACUUGAUUAUCUAUAUACUGUGUUUGUACUAAACACCUAAGCUGGUAAAUCUUUCAGUAGGAAUUCUUAACCUGUGAUAAUGCCCGUAUUCUUGUGCUACCGCUGUUCUAGAGAGGAAGCUUUAGAAAUCUGUGAGCAAAAUCACGUAUUUUAAAAGACAGCCCAGGAUACAACUGGCUUUCUUACCUGCAGGUGCACAUUGCUGGCUCAACUUCAGUUUUCCAUGUCCUUCUCUGCAGAGUUGCUCUCUAUCUACUCAUUGCCCAGCUUGUAUUCAUGCUUGGGUUUGCCCCAGUCCACAUGCAGGACCCUGCCUUUUGCCUUUUUGAGUUUCAUGAGGUUCACAUGUGCCCAGUUCUCAAGGCUGUCAAGGUCCCCUUGGAUGCCAUCCUUUCCCUCCACAUCACUCAGCUUGGUGUCAUAGCCACAAACUAACUGAGGCACUCAAUCCCACUGUCCACAUCACUGACAAAGACGUUAGAUUAUACUGGUAGUUCAAAACUGUUCGUAGUGUAAUUUGGAAUUAUCCAAAAGUAAUAAAAUAAUGAAUGUCAGAAGACAUAAGUUGAGUGUUCUAGGCAAUUAUGCUUAGCUUACUUGAAUGCUUCCAUCCAGAAAAAUCCAUCAGUAAUCUGAAAUUUCAUACCAUAGCUGUAUCAGCAUGAACAAACAUGGGGACAUACACAGCAGCUCUUUUAGAAGUGUCACUGUAUAAUAUGCAGGAAAGCUCUGAGGAUGAACAAAUUUUAUUUUGCAAAAUAAUAUUGUUUCAAAAUUUCAUCAUAAAGGCUUUUUUAAGAAAAAAAGUAGAAGUUGUAAACAUUACAUUUUUAAGGUCCUUUUUUUUUUGCUUUUUUGAAACUGAUAAGCUGGAAUAAUUCUUAUUUUCAGUAGACAAGUAAUUUGUUUUUAUUUCUGUACUAUUUGUGAUGAUUUCUGUUACAGUAUGGGUAAAUAAAUGUGUGGAACUAGAAUAAGAUAAACUUCAAAUAUACUUAGAAUAUAAAUCACUUUUUUUUUUUUUUCCAUGGUAAGACAUUUGACAUCUGCUACAAUUUAGGAUCAGGCAGAUAACCAGACUGAAUUAAUUAAAAAUGAUUAUAGCUAUCCUGAAGAGCUAAUGAAAGUUAUAACCUGAAAAAAAUUAGUGUAAAUAUGGCCUUUAAUUAGUGUAGGAAAAAAUACGCUUAUCUGUAUUAAGAAUAAACAUUUUCAAAUUGAGAUCUAAAAGUUUGCAAAUAGAUUAGUGGUAGUUUAGAGCAUGCAGAAUAUAAGUUCAGUUUCAAAAUAAAAAGCAAACAAACGACCAACUAGUUUGAGUGUUGCCCAAAAACACUUCAGUAACAAUAACUAUGAUAUUAAGUUGAAGCUUGCUGUCUUAAGCAAUCAAUUCUGUUUUUCAGAUCUCAUUUGAAUACUCUCAUUAUCUUCAUGUGCUAUUCUUUCUGCCAACUACUCUAACAAAACUGCUUAGUUUGUGCUUCUGUAGGUCUUGAACUCAUUGCUUUAAAUAUGCUAUCAACACUAAAGCCCUUUGAAAAUCGAAUUUCCUAUCAGAUAAUUUGUUUUACCUUGUGCCAUAAAAUCAGGUAUCUCAUACAAUGAAGCCUGAAAUGUAGCUGAGGGCAGCUUGAAAUGUAAUGCACUAUAAUCAGGAUGAAGAAACUUCAUCUAGAAAAACACUUUGUUAAACUUGCUUUACCCAAAAACCAAACAAGUAUAAAUCAAGAGAUUCAAAUAUAUGUAUUUUACCCAUCUAAGAGAUAAAUUAUCACCCUCAUACAACUUCAGAAGUAUUACAUCUUGUUCUGGUCUGAGCAUCCAGUCCAUAAGUUGCAAGUAGUCUAUCCCACACAAAAAUUUGAAAAAAAAAAAUGUUAAUGGGAUGGAGGGAAUUUACUUUAAUGAAACAUUUUCAAGUGUUUGAGCUUGUAAAUUUUCUGCCUGACUUUAUCUAGACUAUCUACUCUUCACUUACACUGCUAUUCUCCAACUUAAAAUGCUUCCUUGUCUUUUUGGCCUACACAUGCUGUUACAGAGGAAGAAGCAUAAUUGCUUUGUUGCUGCAUACUCUUUAUGAAUGAAAUUCACAUUUCAUAUUCAGAAUACUCAUUAAAUUAGAUUAAAUUAUUAAAUAUGUUCACAAAAUUCAUUUUAAAUUAUUACAGAACGAUAGAAGCAAAUACAGGCAUAAACUUUCUGUCUCUGAUAAAUACUAAGUGGUCUUUCCAAUUUAUUACUUGCUGGUCUGAAACAUUUUUUGCCAUUAAACCAAUAAAGUAUUGCACUCUAAAUCUUUCCUCACUCAAUCUCCAAAAGAAAAUUAUUCAAGUAAUCUUAUCUGGGAGAAAUGAUUAAGGAAAAAAAAGAAAAGUAUGUACUGGGAAAGUGAUGGACUUAACUCAUGUGCCUUGGAAGGUUUUACCUAAACUUUAUUAAAAUAAAGAGUGUCUCAAAGCAUAAAUGGUCAUCUCAAGGAACAAAAAAUGCCUAGAAAAAAAUUCCUAGAUACUGUAAAUGUGGCCUCACUGUCAAUUUUCAAAAUUGUCUUUGAAUCAUUCAGUGUGCUCCCCAUUAGAAAAGUUACACUUUCAGAGGAAAUUCAAAAAUUUGAUAGACCUUAAAAAUUUAUCCUGGAAGAACUUGGAGAAUAAUUUUCUUGUUGAUGUAAUAUUAAAAUUUAACAUGCUGUCUUCACAAUUCUGUCUUAUGUUAAUCAGUACCAUACAGUAAUUCCAUAUGUAAACAUUUGCUUUUUUGUGCAUCAUGAAUAGAAUAAAAUGUAAGUAAUUGACUGGCCUUUCUCCAUUAUUUUUCAUUACUUUGUGUAUCUCCUCAAGUGGAUUUGUAUAUGAAAUAUGAAGGCAAUACAUACAUACAGCUCUGGAAUCUGGGAAAUGAAUCCAAAGGAAGUCAAAAUUAAUGUUCAGAAGUACUUAGUCAGCCUUGACCUCCUCCCUUGAAACCAGUGACAGUUUUAAGACUGAUCCCUUGGGGUAAUGCUGAGCAUUAUUAAAAUCUGAAGAGCAUAACUGUCCUAUGGGAAUGCAUUUGACUGUUUGCUGUUGCAUGUCUGCCUGAUUUUCUCCUGUAUUUUUUUAUGUCAGGAAGUUCCUACUGGCAUAAUUAAUACUGCUCCAAAGAUAUUAUCCACUAUGUUUCUCACAAUUAAAAAAAAAAAAAAAAAAAAAAAAAAAAAAGGCAAUAAAAAUCCAGGAUGAAGAACAGAAAUACAGAUUCAAACAAUUUCAAGGAUAUCCACUUGAUAAUUCAUCCACCUCAGCUGGGACAAGGUACCAAGGUACAAUCCUCUGACAAACUGUGGUUGUCAUUGCUUUCACUAGCAUCUUGAGCCAGUGCAGUAAUGCGAUUUUAAGGUUAAUCAUCCACUUUUAUUGUGUGCUGAUACACCACAGAGCAGUUCUGAUACUCAUGAACUGGAUUCCUACCAGGUAAAAAUCAACCAGAAGUUCCCACACAGAAACUCACCAACUGUGCUCGAACCUCUGAUGGCUACAUAAAGGUCCAGGACAAAAAAUAUUCAUUUGAACAGAUUCUAACAGCAAUCUAACUUAAACUUUUCCCCCCCAUGUUAUGUAGAGAUAGGGUCUAUCCAAGCACUGCUGCUUUGAUCAGCUGAUUCUCUUACGUUAGCUCCACAUAAUAUGUCUAUACAGACAGAUAUGCACAUAAAACAUUGUAGACUUUGGGAACUCCGUUUUAAAAUGUUUGAUGUACCUCCCUUUUAUUUCUUUUCCCCAUAUUGGUUUUCUGGAUCAUCCUGUCUAUAGUCAAUCUGAAGAUGGAAUUAAGUACUUGGGAUGUCAAAAUAUUUAUCUAGUUUGCUUGAUCAGUCGUUCAAAUUUCUCUACUUAAAAUUUUGUUAGUUCAGUUUCUCUUUUUUUUUAAAAAAAAAAAAAAAGUCAUCUUGGUUUUAAUGAUUUCCAUCCAUAUAAAGGGUUUGAAAGAUCAGUGUUGUGGUUGUAACAAACAUAGAAGUUUGAGUAAAAAUAGGUGAAAAAGGAAAUUUAACAUAUUUUGCAGAAAAAAAACAAAAGCAAAAAUCUAGACUAAGUAUGGUCUUCCUUGUUAGACCUGAACUGAUUAUAUUUAAUGAAUUCCUUGGGAGUUCAAUAUUGUCCAGUGGCUAGAUAGACUUGUAAAGUUUCUAUUUUAGAUGUAUACCUCCUAAGCUGUUAUUUCAGGCAUAACCAGGAAAAGGUGUUGUGAAGUGUUCUGUGGAACAUCAACAGGAAAAAAAAAAAAAGGAGCAGUAAUGCGUUUUAACAGCAGAAGUGGAAAAGUGAAACUAGAAAGAUUGUUACUUACAAGUUUAGAUAAACCAAGACAACUGAAACUGAGUAACUGGCUAUAUGAAACAAGCCAUAUUAAUAAAAUUACACAAAGCAAAUUCAGUAGACAUGAAGAUCCUUGGUAAGCUGCUGUCUUACUUCUGCUUGUAUCAGCAGGAUACAGCAGAUUUUUAAAAGCUUUAGUUACCACAGUUUAUAAUAGUUUUUCAAUCCUGUAAUGUGCAAGAAACAUUUGGCAGCAAGUUACAUAUUGUAUUGCAUAGGUACACAUUUCUUAAUAAUCUAUAUUUAUUUGUUUGAUAAAGUUAGCACGAGAUAUAAAAUGACAUGUUUCAUAACAACCUAUUUCUUUGGUUUUGCUAAAAGUCCAGUCUAGUACCAUUAACCUAGAAUGAAUAUUUGUAUUGCAUUUAUUGAUUUUUCUUAAUGCUUAAUUCAAUAUUCUCAAGAUAUUAUAAAAUCAUAGGAUAUUAUUUUAUUUUAUUUUAUUUUAUUUUAUUUUAGUCUGAAAUGAAUUUCAAAGUAAUCAAGUAGUAAGUUUUGCAGUUUGAGUUCUUAAAGUAUCACACUUCCCUGUCUGUGCCUAUGUGUAAAAAAACUAACGUCUCUUUUGUCAUUUCUUGUCUAUGGUCAUAAAAGAGAGAACUAUAUUUAUUCAUUCAUAGAGAUUAAAUGAAUUGUGCAUAUCAAUGAAGAUUAAGAGAUUUCAUGUAAUAUAACUUUACCAACUGUGUUUUUCAAAAAACAACUCAUAUAUUACCAGUUUAUCCAGUUUAUUUUCUGGGAGGAAAAAAGAAAACAAACACACAAAAAAAGCUAAUUUAUCAAUGAACCAUGCACAGUGUACAGAGCCUCUUAAGGAAAUUAUACAGAAACUCUCUGAAAUAGAAAUAUUUACAGUGCAGAUAAGUAUGGAAUCCUUUGCAUAUAAAAUAAAAUACUAUAUAUCAUUCCUUCCAACUAUUCUGUGGACUGCUUGUAUAAAAUUCUCUCUUGAGUUGAACAGUGAAUUUGAUUUUCAGAAAUAAAUACCUUCAAUCAUGUCAUGCAUAGUAAAUUAUCUAUUUUUAUUUUUUUUUACUUUCCAAAAACAAACGUAGGCAGAACUAUGUAUGAAAAUUUUUAUAGAAUAAAUUUUAUUUUGAUAAUAGCAGCAUUUUAUUAAUUAAACUGUUUCAUCAUUAUAAAUUGCAUUUCUGGUUAUUGAUGCAAACAGCCAAACUCUUCAACAAUGCCUAUUACAUUAGAUUUAUAUGACUUUCUGAAGAUCACUAAAUGUUGUUGAGAGACACAGCACAUUUUUCCAGCGCAUAGAUACUUCUGUGAUUAAUUCUUCAAGUUAUAACCCAAUGAAACUAGUAGCUCAAAUAUUCGUAUCAGAUUAUUUCUGAGGGCAGCUGACUCAUGCAAGUCAACCAUCUCAACAGCAACCUGAAUAAUGUGGCCUCUCUAAAGUUAACUCUGGGACAAGGAGAUGAAUAUCAUAUUUGCUGGUCUCUGGGCUGGCUGAGUACAACCUCAGCUGCCCUUGGGGGAGCUCAGCCAGCAACACCUCUGUAUACUCCAGAUUUGGAGAAAGAGAGUUGAGUGCUGUAAAUAUAAUUUCCCCAAACAAGUCCUUUUUAGCAGUGAUAGUUUAACCUUCAUCCUACAAUUUGAGAUUUAAACUGCAUGUCAUAUUUACAUAUCUGCUGUCUCACUUAAGUCUGAGACUAUUAUCCUGUCUCCUACCAAGUUACUGUUUUAGAUAUUCACAUUACAACACAAUCUACCUUAACAUUUUCCCAUUAUGUUAAACUAUUGUUUAAUUUGCCGGCUUUUAUGGAUGUCCUGUACUCUCUUCUCAGUCAAUGGACCUGUGAGCCAAAUUCAGAAGUUAUAUGUAAGGCGCUGUAACAUAGAUCCCAUAAUAUUCACUUGAAUUUUCUCAAUAUUUCAUACUCUGUUCUCUACAAAGUGAAAGGCAAGGUAACACAAUAUAACUCUCACACAAAGUAGCUGAAAGGAGCUGGGUAAACUAAAGCAUCCUCUUCCAUAAAUUAUGUUUACUCCCAUCUGUUUAUGCUGUGAGUUAACUUUCAGUUUAGAGAGUCUGAGAGACAGAAAGAACUAGCAGACACAAGUCUAAAUCAAUUCUCUGUUAGUUGUGUGUGCACUGGUGAUUUUAUAAAUAAACUAUUCAAAAGUAUAGCCUCUGCGUGGGCUAAUUGAGCUCAGAGUCAUUUUAGGUAUGUUAAUUACAGGUCUGCCUGAGUCCAUGUAUUUACAAAGACAUUGUGCUCCUGAGUCAGCAGAACCAAGCAAUCUAAGAACCACUUUUUGUGGGAAAUGCAAAUGAGACACUCACUGCCUCCUGCUGACUUACACUGAGAAGCUAUUGAACUGUCUGGAUUGUUUCCAUUUUCAAUAUCCCGUCUUCUGAGUAAGAUAACAGAGUCCACUAUAAAACAUAUAGUCUGCAUUAUUCAUCACUUAUAUUUUGUGUGUGACUUACAUACACAGUAGUUUGUGACAAUCAAAAAGAGUAAGGACAAAAUUUGAAUCAAGGUACCAUAAAGUUCUGGAUAAAUGUAAAAAUAAAUAAAAGGAAUUAAAUGGAGAAGAUUGUGAACAUGAAGUGAACAAACCAAAUGAGGAGGUUAGUUAUUCUGAACUAUAAUGCAGUUGCUCAUGCUGAGAAAAUAAAAAGUUUAAAACUCAGAGAAAGCUGCUCCUCUUGUUUUCAAAAUUAUUGGAGGGGUGACAGGAAAAACAAACUUUUUUAAAAAGAAAGGGUAAGUUUCUGCAAGAUCUCACUGCUCUAGUGGCUAAAUCCUGUUUCCCUGUUUUCCCCAGGUAUUCAUUGCCUUUCAUGAUUCUUCAGACUGACAACCUCUGUUACAGUGUAGGGCAUCUCAUGGGAGUUGAAGUUUAUACAAUAACAGGUUUUCCAUGUGCAUGUUCAUCCAAAGUGGGUGUUUUUGCAAUAGCUUCUUGCAAUCAUCUUGUUCACAAGCAGAUAGCAAUUUGUGUCUUUAUAAAGUCCUUUGUGAAAUUUAUAACAAUAAAAAUUUGUUUCAGUGUUGCUGAUAUGACUGUAUUAUUAGGAACUGAUAAGUUUUGUAUAUCAAAGAACAAAAUAGCAGUCUAGACCAUACAGAAGAGCUCCAUACCUGAGAUUUUUACCAUAUACAUAGUUACAGAAAGUCACAACAGCAAUAACUUGUACCUUGUUUUGAAUAUAAAGUUAUUUGAAAGCAAGAGAAAAAUUAAUUGGUGCCCAAAUUGAUCUCCAUCUUCUGUGCUACUUGAUUUUCAUUCUAGUGGUGUUCAAAAGCCAGACUGAUGCAGAGAGCUCUUGCAAUACCUGCCUUGUGCAGACAUUGUAUAGAUAUUACCUUGGAAUUAUUGUCAGAUAAAUAUUUGUAUAUGAAUUUAUCAUGCAUACUCACUACUGGAAAAAAAAUUUUUUUCAUAUUUUAAAUCUGGAUCAAAUAUUAAAGAGAUGAGUAUUUGUAUCCCAUUAAACUUUCGUACAAGCAUCAGCAUUAAGCAUUGACUGAUUUUUAGUUAAUUCUAUCUACUUUACAGAUAAAAGGUAUAUAGAAGUAAUUUUUCGUUUGUUUGUUUUUAAAGGAAAAAGAGGGUUGUGCAAGUAAUUUAUGCUGUAGUGCUUUAAUAGAAGACUAUGCCUUUUGCUGCCUUAAAUAAUUCCUUAUUUUCUGAGAGUAGUGACAUACAAAGUACAGACCUGGAAGUAAUAUCAGACUAACACAAACUGACAUUUUGUAUAUACAGCAGAGUUAAAAUUUGCAGUCAAGAUGAUGAGAAAUUUAAUCUAAUUCACCAUCUUGAUCAUGUUGGUGUGGAAAGUCUACGAACCACACAGACACAUGCUUGAUUUUGAUAGGUAUGUCAGUAUCAUUUAUUCCAUAACAAAAAUUAAAGCUAUCUAGUAUUUUAUAGGAUAUCUAUAGGUAUUUGAGCUCUUCAUUUCUAAAAUUCCCCUUUCUCCUACAUGGCAUUCACUUAGUGUACCUCAGAGAGUAGAAAGUGAAGUCCCAUUAUAUGCUCCAGUUCCUAUUCAGUCAAUUAGUAUAUGCUCAGGAGUUAUUCUUCUGUAGCAGACCUGCCUGUAAUUGAAUUUAUGUCAAAUAAGAUGUUGUACUUAUACAUCCACUGGGAGCAGAAAUGAAGGCAUCAGCCAUAAGGUACAGAAAGAUUUCUCUACCCUAUAAUUGCAGCAAAACAGAUGCUAAUUUGUUUUUAGAGUACCUUGCAGAUGCUUGAACAAAACAGAAGCUGGCUUACCUGACUUCUUAGAAAUACUCAGUGAUUGCCCCAUCUGAAAAGAUAUGAGGUCAUCUCAUCUCAUGAAGAUGAUAGCUGACAAUGUUUUUUUGCAAUCUAUACCAUUAUCAUUGCUGUAAGAAUCACCUCUGUACUGUUCCAUCAAUUACAAAUGCCAGGGAAAUUUACAGUGGGUUCAGGAGAUUGUUAAUGAAUUCAAACACACUCAAACUUGAAAUCUUAAUUGGCAUAACCCAACUAGUUGUUCACCACAGAACAGAUUUUUUUUACCAAGCUGCAGUUUCCACUUCCAAACUGAGGAAUACACAGCAGGAAAAAAGAAAAAAGAAAAAAAAAAAAAAAAGCUUUUUCAUGGCAUUACAUUAUUUCUUUUCCUGGAUGUAAAUUUCAACAUAUUAAAUUUCAAAAAUAUAUAUGUAAUUAAUAAAUUAUAUGAGGGAAGACAGCAUCUUUAAUCUCUAGCCCACACAGAGAAUGAGGUUAACUAGAUAAGGUGGCACUGAUACAUCUACUUGGGCUUUGUAACAACCCAUGGUUACCUUGUAUUAAGAUAAUCUCUACUUGCUUUUUUGUUUGCUUAUUUGAUGCCUCUUUACUGAAUUCUUUCAGUGCAAAAGAACCAUGACUAAGUUUAGAUGCAGGCCCUUGGUCAUAAGAUAAAGUACAGCAAAAAGAGAAUAAAACUGAAAAAGUAUAAACUCAAAUAAAUUAAAUUAAGUUGCAAGCAAACUUCAAUAUCAUUGUAUCAGGGCAUUCAAUUACUACUCAAAUGGGAAAGUGAUUAACAGAUCUAUGCACUGAAUCAGUUUUCUUCCAUAAAAACAAAACAAUGGAAAAUCCCAAUGUGUAUUCAGAACCAUCCUGAAGAGUUAAAACUCAUAUUCAGAAGGAUUUAUUCAAUUAGAAGAAAAAUCUUGCAAAAAUAAAUAGAGUGUUUUAACUCACCCUGUGAGAAACUCCUAAUAAGGACAAGUGUUUGAGUGAGAAAAUUUCUUAAGCUUCAAAAAUAAACCCUAUGGCUAAAGGAAAUUCUUCAAAAUGCAUAUUGAAAGUGCUUCUUUUUCUGUUUUAACAGAUGUAAAUCACAUUUCAUUUAAACUGGUGAAAGAACGUUGCAAAUUUGGGCUACAGUGUCUAAAACACGGCUUACCAGCUCAAAAUUGAUAAUCUUUUCCUCUCUCUCUCUCUCUGUCUUUUUUUUUUUUUUUUUUUUUUUUUUUUUUCUUUUUUAACUCAAGAGAGGCUGCAUUUACUAUAAGGCACAGCAGUUAGUACCAGAAGGAAAUAUCCUAUCAUCAGUGUCUGAUUGUCUCAUCAUUAGAUUCUGCUCCAGGCUGUAUUUAUUCACUUCACUUGUUUCUUUCUCUUUCCAGUGUCUACAGCUGCUGUCAAAUCUCAGACAGAAAAAAAGAAUCACAAUCUACUGUAACUGAAAACAUACUUAUUUUUGCAUAGGGAGGAGUGCUACUGCCUUUUUCAAAGCAUAAGACUUAAAAAAAAAAAAAAAUCUUAUUUUAUUUUAUUGACUGACAUGUAAAGAAAACAUCCAAAUCCUUAAUUUUUCUUCCUGCACGAGUGCCACAAAGUCUGGAGGGGGGUGUUAGAUCAAGUGCAUAGUGUAAUACCUUGCAUUUCCAACUCCUUUAUUAGCUCUGUAUAUUUAUAUAUACAUAUUAUAUAUGCAUAUAUAGAGAGAAAUAUAUACUUCAUGCUUGUUUCUAAAGAAACAUUCUCAUGAUUAGGUGUCAUCUGCCUUUAACGUUACUCAAAGGUAGUCAUUUGGCAUCUGGCUGACCUGAGCCCAGCCUUGGAAAGUAUAAGCUGCAUUACCUUAUCCAUCAAUAUGACCCAAACUAAUUACUCUAUCACUUAUCAUGAAAAUUAUCUUAAAACAAUCGCCUUUCAUUUUUUAGAAUAUUUUAAUUUGAUUAACUAAUACUAUUCCAAAAUAAAAAAUAAAGGUUCUGGUUUAUUGUAAAUGCUGCAAGUGCUCUUCCUCUGGCUAUAGCACUUUUUUAAUGCCUUUGCUAAUGGAUACAAUACAGUGUGUUUUAGAUGUGAGAUUUAUACUUAAUUGGCAUGUUUUAUUUUCCACAUGUUCUGCAAAAGCUGUCAAAAGCUGAGACUAUGCUUUUGCUAAGGAAUUAAUCAUCAUUAAACACUAAACCAAAAGUAUGUAAAGUAACUUGUCAGAAAUUAACAAGCUCUGUAGAUUCAGCAGGCUCAUCUCAGAAUAAGUGUGUAGGACAUCUUCAAUGGCCACAUUGUUAUAAAUGUAGUCAAAUUCCAAUGCACAGUCUAUGAUUGAUUCUUUUUAGAAAUGUAUUCGAUUGACUAAAGUCUCUUGCCCAUGAGAUUGCCAGAAAUUAGACAGCUGACAAAUGAGUUAAGAAUUAACUUUUUUUAUAAUAUGCUCAAAUUAAUAUAUAGUUGUCAUGUUCAUAAAAUCCAUUAACUUUAGUACAUAGUGUAGUUCAUCAUGGAGCAUUUGCAGAUUUGCUCAUUGUGUGGUCCUUGUCCAACACGCAUUCUGAUGGUGAUCAGAUAUUUCAGAGCAAUUGUAACAUUGUCUGCCAAAAUAAGUAAAUAAGUAAAUAAAUAAAUAAAUAAAUAAAUAAAUAAAGUAAAAAAGCUUCAAGAAAAUUGCAUUACUUGUCUACAGAAUACUAUUACAUUUCUCAGGCUGCCAGUCAUUCUUUCCUAGUCAAACACACACAAAUCUCAUAUUUAGCUGAACUGAAUGCUCCAUUUACAGUAAACAUUGAAUAGAUCACAUUAUUUCCAGGCCAUGAAGAAAGUAUGUACUUAGCCAUUUUUUUUAAUGGAAAAACCUUGGAUAGUGAUUUCCUUAAAAAAUUAGGACUAUGUGUUUAGAAGACAGAGAAUUAACAGAUAUAGAACAAAAUAUCUGUAACUCUGAUGAGUAGAAAAUCAGAGAAGUAGUCCUAAAACCACAUAAGCAGACAAUGAAUUGCAAUCUCCUAGGGGAAGCAGGGGCAGCCAAGAGAAAGAGCUACCAUAUAAGGGUGAGAGUUGACACUGAACAUCGAAGAGAGUUCUACAGUAUGUAGAAGCAAGACAUGAAUAGUAGCUGACAGAGCCUGGAGUUUUGAAAGUGCUGUUUAUCCAGCGGGCAGCUCAGCGCUACAGAACUGUUUCCUGCUGGAGAGAGAAUCAGAAUAAAAAAAACAACAAAGUAGAACACUUGGGUUCAGAUAAAAACUAUUUACUAAGGCAGAAAAUGAAGAGAAAUUGAAAAUAAUGAUAGUAAUGAUAGUAAUAUAUAUAUGUAUAACACAAAUGAUGCACAGCACAAUUACUCACCACCUACCAAUCAAUGCCCAGACAGCCAACUCCUCAUUGUUUUACAAACUUUUUUUUUUUUUUUUUUUUUUUUUUUUUGUAUGAUGCUAUCUGUUAUGUAAUAUCUCUUUGGCAAGUUCAGAUCUGUCCUGGUUCUGUCUCCUGCCAGCUUUCUGUGCCCCAUCAGCUCCCCUUGCUGGCAGAACAGUACAAGAUACUGAAACAUCCUUGGCUCUAUGUAGCCACUCCUCAGCAACAACUGAAGUAUUGGUCUGCUAUAGAUGUUGUUUCUCUCCCAAAGCCAAAACAUCACAUCAUACCAGGCACAAUAAAUAGAAGAAAAAAGAAAAAGAAAAAAAAAAAUCAACUCUGUCCCAGCUGAAACCAGGACAGAAGGGCAUGGACCUGAUUACUACACAGUGAGAAAAAAUAAAAGCAGAUUUUAUCUAGACCACUAUGUGCCUGGAUAUGUUUAUCUAUGUAUUAGAUAUAAUAAAAUGUAAGCAGAACCCUAUGAAACACCAGCUUAUGCAUAAUGUUUAUUAUUUCAAAUUUGCUUCUGAAAAGUUAACUCGUGUGAGGCAAAACUUAGAGUCAAGGGGUUUGCAAACUACAGGGGUUGUUGCCAGUCUGGAUGCCAGCAACUGAGUCAUGGGUUGUCAGAUCUCAGGCAAGUUGCCUCUAAGGAUUUGGCUCCUGUCCUUGGCAAAGGGCUGUGGACACAGUGAAAUUUGAUUCAAGACCAGUCACAAAAACCUCAAAAGUGUCUAACCAGAACCAACUUGGCUAUGGUUCUAACAGAGUAUUAAUAUCCUCAAGUGACUGAAAAAGUAGCGCUGAGGGAGAAAAAAUAAAGGCAGUCUCAUAAGCCAAAGUAAAAACAUGGGGUAGUCUCAGAGAUUAAUACAGUGGCUGACCUUUAAAAUGUCAUUAAAUCAAUCUUCAAGAAAUCAAUUCUCAUUGAAAUCACAUUAAUCUAGCCUUCUAUUCAUCCUACUCUGAGCAACAAUCUUAUUUGCUGCUGUUCUCAGUGUUCUCUGGUGUAACACUUCUUUUGCUUAUUCUGUACAUCUCUUGAUAUAAAUGAGUUUCCCUGUGUAUGUGCACUUUCAAACUCAAGGUUAAUAAGGCAACUGCUUAUUUAAUAGAGACAAUCGCAGUAACUCUUCUCCCUAGAUGUUCUGUGAUGUAUUUCGUGAGGCAUUUAGGGGAGCAGGUAAGUUCAAAUGUCCUCAAUCACAUAUAUGACAUGUAGUUCCCAGUUUUUGUUCAUCAAGACUCCAGAGAAAGAGUGAAGUAUUGUUUUUUUUUUUUUUUUUCCCUCCAGAUCCAGAGGGCUUACUAUCUUGUGAUGAUUUCAUGAAAUUGUACUAAAAGAAAGAGAAAAAAGCACAGGUCAAAAUUUUAUUGGCAUAAUAGAUUGUCACUUGGGACUGAUGUCUAGUAGACAUGAGGUGUAAAAUUUUACACUGUUAAACACCUCUGUGCCAGGAAAGACCAUGGAGCAGAUCCUCCUGGAAGCUAUGCCAUGGUACAUGGAAAAAGGAGGUAAUAUGGGAGAACCUGCAUAGAUUCACCAGGGGCAAAUCCUGCUGCAUCUACCUAGUGGCCUUUUAUGGCGAUGUCACUGCAUCAAUGGUCCAGGGAAGAGCCACUGAUAUCAUCUAUCUGGACUUCAGUAACGCUUUGAAAUGGUACCCCACAAUAUCUUUCACUCCAAAUUGGAAAGAUAUGGAUUUAAUGGGUGGACUGCCCAAUGGAGGAAGAACUGGAUGUAGGAUUGAGUCCAGAGAGUGGUGAUCACUGGCUCAAUAUCUGGAUGGAGAUCAGUGAUGAGUGAUGUCCCACAAGGGUCAGUGCUGGGACUGACACUCUUUAAUAUCAUCAUCAUGUGGUUCGAGUGCACCCUCAGCAAAUGUGCAGAUGACACCAACCUAUGGGGUGCAGUGAACGCACCAGAGGGAUGAGAUGUCAUCCAGAGGGACCUAGACAGGCUUGAGCAGUGGGCGUAGGUGAACCUCACCAGGUUCAACAAAUCCAAAUUAAAGAUCUUGCGCGUGGGUUGAGGCAACCCUCACUACCAAUACAAGCUGGGGGAUGAAAGAACUGAAUGCAGGGCUGCCAAAAAAGACCUGGGGGUAAUGGUGGAUGGCAAGCGGACAUGAACCAGCAAUGUGCCCUCACAGCCCAGAAAGUCAACAGUAUCCUGGGCUGCAUCAAAAGAAGCGUGGACAGCAGAUCGAGGGAGGUGAUCCUGCCCCUCCACUCUGCACUGGUGAGGUCUCACCUGGAGUUCUGUGUCCAGAUGUGGAGUCCUCAGUACAGGAGGAGUACAACAUAGACCUGUUGGGGCGUGUCCAGAAGAGGGCCGCAAGAAUGAUCCAAGGGAUGGAACACCUCUCCUGUGAGGACAAGCUGAGAGAGCUGGGGCUGUUCAGCCUGCAGAAGAGAAGGCUCUGAGGUGGCCUUUCAGCAUCUACAGGAGACUUACAGGAAAGAAGGGGACAGACUCUUUAAUAGGGUUUGUGGUGAUAGAACAAGGGGAAAUGGCUUCAAGCUUAAAGAGGGUAGAUUUGGGUUGGAUAUAAGGAAAACUCUUUUCCAGUGAGGGUGGUGAAGCACUGGCACAGGUUGCCCAGAGAUAUGGUUGAUGUCCAGUCCCUGGCAACUUUCAAGGUCAGACUGGAUCAGGCCCUGGACAACCUGACCUAGCUGUGGAUGUCCCUGUUUACUGCAGGGGUGUUGGACUAGAUGACCUUUAGAGGUCCCUUCCAACUCCAAGGAUUCUAUGAUUCUAUUAUUCCAUAUUCUUUCCAGGUUUUUUGAUAUUAAAGAAAGUUACAUGUUAUAACAGCCUGAGGGCAUAUUCCCCAAAGAAUUUUCCCUAUUCUUUUAUACUGAAAAUGGUUUAUAACAGCAGAUGCCAAGCAGCUUAAGUCACCUUUAAACUCCGCAACAAUCUUGAUUCCCUAAAGCGGAAGAAUCAAUUUCAGUACUCCCCUUCAUAUUGCUUAUACCACGAGACUUGAUGUUGUAACUCUGCUGCCUGUACACUUAUGCCAGAAAUUGAACAAUUGUCUGCUAAUAAUACCUGGUCCAAGAGCUAAUGGGAUGUGUCACUCAGCAGUAUGGGACACAGGAUUGUUCCUGGCAUGAAUAGCAGCUGUUUCUAUGGAGGUUCAGGGUGUCAAGGCAAGACUUCUGAAACAACACAGCAAAAUGAAACACAAACCACUAACUUUUAAAAAUUGUGAAUUCUUGUCCAAAUCAGUAAAUAUAUUUAUAGGCCUCCAAGAAUGGUCCAGUUAGUCCAUCUGAGUGAGAUGUGGGAAACCAAAUGUAAUCAUCUGCUGAGUGAAGACUGUAGACUGACAUCUUCGAAUAUCCCUGGCUUGGAGCUGAUAAAUGGAUGCAUUCCUUCAGCUCCUCUUGUUGGCUAUUCUCAGUUCCAGGUACCUGUCUGGAAGAGAAGAAGAACUACGGUCCCCAAGAGCCUUUUCAAGUACUGUUAUCAUUCCUGCUCAAGGGAACAGAUAUAAGGGCGCAGGUCAUCUGACUCGGCCCUCUUCUCAUCUUGCUGUGUUCCCUGCCGGAUCGGCUCGCUACUGCUGCUCCUGACUGCAUGCAAGGCUUCAGUAUUAGCGUGAGGCCUUUGGCUCUCGGACAAUCUUUCUCUCAAUUAUUGUUGAUUUAUAUUGCAUUAUAGUGUGUUAUCUUACAUUCCGAUACUAUAUUUAGUAAAUUAGUUUGUUUCUCCUCAGAUCGUUGCCACUGUUUUUAAUUAUUUUGGGGUCCCCUUUUUCCCUUCCUGGAGGUGUGGAUUUUGCGAAGUCCCUCUGCCCCACUAGUCGCGGAACUGGGCCGGACCAGCCCUUAAACCGUUGACACAUCAUAGGCCAAAAAAAUAAAAAAAAGAGACACUGCAUUCACAGUAGAUCUCAUAUAUUAAAACUGACAUAUAUUGAAUUUGGUCUAGUAUAUUUUAGGUCUAAACAUUUUAAGAAUAGAAACUGGAGGCAGCCGAUAGAAGACUGUGUUCAAUUGUAAUGAGAAAAUAAAUGUUGUUUUAACCACACCUAAUCUGGCAACCUAACAGCUAAAACACUGCUGCAGACUAGCACUAUAAUUUAAAAUUUUAAAAAGGUUAUUAAUAAUUUGAUAUAUGAAACACAGGUAUUUUACUGAAGAGGAAUGAAGAAAGAAUGAGGGACUGAAGGAAAGAAUAGAGGAAGAAACAGAAGGAGAUGACAUUCAGUGGGGAAUGAUUAUGAUGAGGUCCUUCCUUCUCCUUUCCAUGUUUCCCAGACUGACAACAUGAGGUAGUGGGCAAUUUUUGAAAUGUCACUGGACUCAGAUUUUAUUUUGUUUACUAUGAAGGAUAAUCAUUCAGAGAGCUGUGGUUUAGCACUGCACACUCAAAUCUAAGUAAUGUAUAUUUUUAGGGUUUCUAUGGCUCUUCUGAUCUUUAUUUCUUGAAAAGAUCCAUUUGCCUCAAGACUGUUCCUCUCCUGCCAACAUUAAUUAAAGGAAAAUAGGUAGGAAUUACCCUUGAGUUAAAAGGAAGUCUUUAAUAGCUCCAGGAAAGGUGAAAAUUGUUUUCAGGUAUUUUGAUUCAAUUAUUCUACCUAACAUUCAUUCUGUCUACAUAUAAUGAAAGGAUAAAUAACCAAGGAAUGAGACAGAGGCAAUUUGUGGAAAAAAAAAAAAAAAAAGCCAACAGGAAUGAUCAAAGACAGCAAAUAUUGAAAAGGAAAAUAUACCUUUUUAAUUCUUCUAGUUCUCAGUCUUGUUUACCUUUCCUUUUUCAUCGUCAGUCUGCUUUAGUUUAUAUAUCACGUAUUGAUUGAUCUUGAGCUAGUAAGUGGAAUCAGAUCCACCCCCUCUCCUGAAUAUCUGUUAUACCAAAAGUCAUAUGCAAAACAGAAUAACUGUACCAUCUUCAAAAAGACUAUUAAAGGAGAAACCACUGCUUCACACUGAGUCAGUUUAAACAUCUGAUAACCAUUUCAGCUGAUGCACACACCCAGACAUAUCUCCUGAGGAGUGAGACAGCUGCCCAGACCUUUGGCUCUAGGGAACUCUUGAAUCUAGUGGCCACCCAUGGGACUGAGGAAGGUGAGGGGUAUCAUGGGUGCAGAUGUGCCCAACUGAAUGAUCUUCCUGAGCACGUGACCAGGCUGCAAGAGGAGGUCAUCGAAUCAUAGAAUCAUAGAAUGGCUUGGGUUGGAAAGGAUAAUCUUUGCGGCCCUCCUCUGGACCCUCUCCAUGUGCUCCACAUUUUUUCCUUUAUUGGGAGUCCCAGACCUGGAUGCAGUACUUCAUAUGAGGCCUCACAAGGGCAGAGUAGAAAGGGACAAUCAUUUCCCUGCCCCUCAUGGCUACCCCUCCCCUCAUGCAGCCAAGGAUACCACUGGUCUUUUGAGCUGCAAGAGCAUACUGCUGGCUCAUGUUAUGCUUUUCAUCCAUGAGGACUCCCAAGUCCUUCUCCACAGGGCCACUCUCAGUGAGUUCUCCCAGUCUGGGCACAUAUCACAUAUCUGACAUUACUCUGACCUAAGUGCAAAAUCUUGCAUUUUGCUAUGGUGAACCUCAUUAGGUUCACAUGUGCCCACCUUUUGAGUUUGUUGACGUCCCUGUGGAUCAUGGCCCUUCCUUCUAACAUGUCAACUGUGCCACUCAGCUUGGUGGCAUCGGCAAACUUGCUGAGGGUGCACUUGAGCCCACCAUCGAUGUCACUGAUGAUGUUGAAGAACAGCAAUCCCAAGUGCAGUGAAUGCAGUGCCCAUGCUGUCCCACCGCACACAUAGAAACAGAGCAGAUUGAGUCAGGUGAGUAUGAUCUGGAUUUCCUACAGCCCAGUUGUGAGGAGCCAGGACCCAGGUCACAUCUGGGAUCCAAGUCUGUGUGGAUGGGCCUACUCUAGAAAAUGAAAAACAGUCUGAAGGGAAUCAGAUAAAGACUUCUCUGGAGAGCAGUCAUUUUUUUUUUUUGUAUUUUAUUUAUCUGAUGGACAGUUCAGUGGGCCUUUGAUUUAAAUUCCUAUGUGCUUAAACAGUGAUAAAAGACUGAAAAUGCAGAGAAAAUUACUGUCCAGUGUCAUCUCCCUAAAUAAAAUUUGCUGUAAUCUUCAUACACUUUUUUUCUUUCUGUUUUUUUUUUUUUUUUUUUUUUUUUUUUGCAUAAAUAACAAGUUUGGAAAUUUUAAGAUACUUUUAUUUUCUCAAUGAUUUCAUUCUCUACUGCAGUUUUAUAUCUAUGUUUACCGAUGUUUCCACCAUUUUCAAGAAAAGCCCGGAAUCUUUCUUCAUUUCAUAUGACUCUUGAUUUUUUUUAUUUUGUGUGUGUGUGUGUGUGUGUGUCACUAUUUACUGAAGCUGCUGUUAUCCACAAUUUUCCUCAGUCUUAAUGCAAGGAUAAGUUUUACCCUUAUAGUUAUAAAUAAUAUUGCAGUGAUACAAAAACUUUACUUUAUCCCAGUCAUGCUUACCAGAGCUCCUGGCAGAAUCCCAAAAAUCAGCCUCAGCUGCAGUAGUACACAGUUCAAUCCUCACUUUAUUCCCAGACUUGAGUUACCCUUUUCUCCUUUUGUUUUAGCAGAUGUAACAUUACGGCAUCAUGCUUGCCCUUACAUUUUAUGGCCAAGAAGGAAAAUGUUCCUCAUGGAAGCCUUGGAUACUGUAAUCAUCAGACUUUCUCUCCCAGCUUUUUGUCCCUGAACUUGGCCUCUUGUUUCUGUCCAAUUGUCCUGAAUUUAUGGGAUCUGGGUAGUUCAAGCAAAUCAGUCCCCAGAUUGCUCUGAAAGCAGCCAAACUCCCAUCUACAUACUUAAGGUUUUGUAAAACAAAAGGGGAAAGGAGGGCAGAGGGAAGCCAACAGGUUAGUGGGGCUUCUCUUUAUGAUUCCUCAGGGGAAGAAAAAUAACACUCUAAUGAUUUAAACAGCCUGAUGUGUGUUGUCAAGGCCCAUAAGUCAGCACCAAAGAGGUAUAUGCAGCAUGCCCUAUAGCAGCUAAAAAAUGCAUUUGCCAUAAAACGAUACUGUGUUAUUCACCUAAUAUUAUCCACAAAUCCAGCCCAGGCCCUUUAGUAGGUGACCAAUUUAAAUAAGGUAAAGCUCUGGAGACUGGCCAUUACUAUACAGUGUACCUUUUAGAACCACUCUACAAUAAUGAUCUACCUGAGAAAAUACCCUUUGUACAUGCUUCUUUUCUCUUUUUCUGGUUUCAGAAUCUUAAUUUUGACAGUAUUAAGGUAUUUUGUAAUAUAGUUAAUUUUUGCUGUAAACAGAGUCAGUGCUUCUAAUUUAAGGAGUCCCCACAGUGUUUAAUCUGCAAUUAAUUUGAAUAAAAUAUUUAUGUUAGAGAUAACUCAUAAUCAAAAUGACGUUAAUAUGAUGCGUAUUUGAAAUUACAAGCAGUACAACAUAUGCAUAUUUUAUUAAACAUUCAUAACAUCAUCGAGGACAACCAUUAAUCCAUUACUCAAGAUAACUUUAGUCUAUCUCUAUUUGAAGCUGGAACAUUAGAGAGGGAGAGAGUUUUCUCUGAGAUGCAACACAAGGUACAUUAAGGAGACAGUAAAUUGGUUCUCACCUCUGUUUCAUGACAUCCUGGCAUAAACAGAUCCCCAAACAUGGAAAGGCACAGAAGUGUUGCUGAACAAGGUGCAACCAUGUCAGCCCAUCAUGUGUUGGCAAAUAUCCUUCACUGAAGCUGCAGCGCUGAAGCCACUAAAUUUAUCUCAAAUUUGGAAAUUAGUCACUGAACAUCAUUGAUCAUAUUUUUGAUAUGGCCAAGGAAUUAUUUGGCCAUAAUGUUUUCUGAAGUCAAAUCUGAGCUGCCAGGAGAUACCACUCAGUAACAAUGCUUUGCAUGUUAGCAAAAUAUGUAUUAUUUCUGUCAAUUAGCCAAGCAGAGAAGCUGAGGAUCACUACAUUUUAAUACAGGCUCACUUAACUUUCAGUAUUAUUAAGACCCUGUGAGUCACUCAAAAUAAUGAUUCCAAGUGGGGGGAAGGAAAGGCAGAUAAUGAAACCUGCAGACAUGGAAGAAGUUUUAAUACUCCUAGGAGGCAUUAUACAGAAUGCCAGACUGGACACCUACUGAAAGUGCUGGAACCAUUGUCUUUCUGUAAAAGUAAGUAAAUGCUCAAAAUAAAUUCAUCAAGCUAAUGCUUAUUUUAUAAAAGCCAGACCGAUUUUUGUUGAGGGGAGGGAAUUCUUAUCUUAUAUUUAAUCUGGUCAUUAUUUUUUUGUAGGUUGGGCUGAAUGGAAAGUAGUUAUUGCUUUUAAUUUUGGAUCCUAAAACACUAUAAAAGUACCACUCACCUAAACUUCCACAUAAUGAAGUGCAGUAACCCUUCUGGAAGAACCAGUGGAAAAGAAAAGAGAGAAAAAAAAAUAACAAAAGCAUCAGAAGCAUCACCCUGUGGCACCUGUUGACAGAGGGAUAAAGAAGAAAGUUUAAUCAUUGUUGUGUGACCCCCCUGGACAGCUUUGUGGUUGUCAAUCAGCAUCAUGCAGAGCUGUAGUGUGCCACUCGCAGUGGUGAUGACCAGGCCUGCCCCAGGUUUCUCCUUCACUAUUUUGUAGGACAUCUGUAGUUCUUCCUUUAUCCAGAUUUGUUGCUCAUUCCCUUAAGAUCCCAAUUUAUACAGUCCAUUUUCAAGAUUCAAAUAAAUUUGGAUUUGUUAUAUCUGCAGGUAGAUAUCAGAACAUUCACCUUGCACUCUUUCCUUUGUUCAAGGAGCUUUAUGAGGUUUUUCUGUUUACUGGUAUUAUUUUAUUUUUCAGCUAUAAAUUAACUUUAUAGUAAGCAUAUUUACUCCUGUGCCAGGGGACAGUUCACUAAAGUUAACAUAUAUUUCCAAUGUAUGACUAGAAUUCAACUUAGCACAGAAAAAACUUUGGGUUGUUGGGUUUCUUUUUUGUUGUUUUUGUUUUGUUUUGUUUUGUUUUGUUUUCUGUGUCCUACAAGCAUAAGAGAUCAAAAGCAAUCACUUUUGCAGAGCAGGGGGUAUUUUACAGUUUUUUUGAGGAUCUCUACCUCUUUAGGCAGGAACAAUAUAAUAUGUACCUGACACACACUAAAGUAGAAGAUAUAAAAUGUGGUUUGCCCUGACUAGUCUGGGAACAGAAACAGAAUGAAAAGCUUAUCUUUGUUAAGUGAGGUAUCUACAUGCUAUAAGUCUUUGUAGCCCUACAUCCUCCCAUUGUUUUAGGAAAGACAGAGCACCUCUUUUCAAUUAGGAAAAGAAUGCAAGCCUCUAAGUCUGCCUGCCUGUUUUUCCACUUGGACAUGGACCUAUCACACAAUUCACUGAAUUCGGAAAGGAAAGUCACAGUACUAGUUAACAUUUUUAUGACUUGUUUACUUAGAGAAAUAACAUUUAACCACGCAAUCUAUUUUAACUAAAAGAAAAGAAAUACUCAAAGAAUGUGUAUCAGAGGAAUCUACUGUUUGUAUAAAAAUAUGCUUUCUAUCACAGAGAUGAGAUCGUGCCAGAAACUUGUUAUGAUUUCUCAACAUUCUGUAGCAUGUGAGGUAAAAAAAAAAAAGGCAACUUUACAAUAAAUACAUCUGCGUACUGUUUUUGUAAAUCUGCAAAGUAAGAUUAAAAAUUAUUUUUCUUCAUAUCAUUAAAAUCAAUAAAAUAUAAACAAGCAUGGAAGCUUCUCAGAUAAUAAGCAUCAUAAAUCUACAGUUUAGUUUUCUUUAAAAUGUUCUGUUUACAUGCAGAAAUCCUGCUGAAAGAUGUGGCAGGAACCAUGGUAUUAUCUUCAUUAAAAAAAGAUAUUGCAAUAUGUUAGUGUCCACAUGUUUACUUUGAAAUAGAUCAUAAUGUCUGAGGAAGUAAACUCAGCAUUCCUCCAUCCUAUGGAGGAUGAGGGGACACAUCUCCUUUGUAAGCCACAGGUUCUAUAUUUGCUACAAACAAGAAAAUAAUUCUAUGUAAUGUUACUGUUAUUGUACAGAAAGAUACACACACACACAUGAAACUAUGAAAUACAGUUUUGUAUCUGAAUUUGAAGCAGAAUUUCUGGAGUUGAUACACAUUUAAAUAUAAUUCAUCUGUCAAGAUACAGAAGGGAACUACAGUACAAAUAAAAAAAAAUCCUAUUAAGACCGUAACACAAAGAAAGAAUUUAUCAAAUCUCUCUGUCUUUCAUUACGUAGCACAGUCUUUUUUUAUACUGUUAGAUUCCGUGUUUUAAAUUAAAAUUAAAACAAGUUGCAAAAUAUAACAAUGAAUUAUAACUUGUGGUUUUAGCAUUCUGCAUCUACCUUGCCUUCAGAAGUUCUAUAGGAUGGUAAAGGCAUACAAGAAGUGACAGUCUCAAUGUUUUUUUAAUAUUAGUGGCACCAUGAAGAUGUCACAUAUUUUUUAAAAAAGUUCAUUACUGUAGUAAAAAACUAGUGAUGAUUAACAUACUAGUUCCUCUGUUGCUUAUUUUUUCUAAAAAAAUUAAUUGCAGAAAUAACAACUUGUCAGCCUCCGUCUACUUAUGUAUUUUUGUACUGACAGAUACAAAAGUAUGUCACAGAUAGUAUGUCAUUGAUUUUAUGCACAAAAGUAUCAUGCAAUAAUCAGUACUCACUGUUCUUAAGGCAAAGAUUAAUACCAAUAAGACAAGGAACUCACGUUUAGUGUGAAGAUUGCUCGUGCUUAGAUUAGAUUGUUGCAGAUUAUAAGAAGAUGCAAUUCCUUUACAUUUACUGGUGUUCUGAAAGUUUGCUUUACAAGUAGAAGUGCUAGAAUCACAUUUUAUUAAAUAAAAACUGAAUUCUGAAACAAAAUACAACACAGGUAAAUUCUGUUAAUCCUUUGAGUCUAAAGUAAGGACUAAAACAUUACCAGAAAUGAAUGGUUAAAAAUCAAAAAGAUUUUGUUUGUUUGUUUCACAAUGAACUAUUAUGUUUCCUUUGACACUGAGACACUUUCUAAGGAGUCACUUCUGCAAAGAAGGAAAUCACUUUUGAAGAAA